Gossypium arboreum is the source of this 377-nucleotide long non-coding RNA. RefSeq lists it as uncharacterized. The record is from RefSeq and is a predicted model, not a curated record. The transcript has 2 exons. Lineage: Eukaryota; Viridiplantae; Streptophyta; Magnoliopsida; Malvales; Malvaceae.
GACUUGAGUUUUGGGAAGCAAUAAGAAUUCUUGAGAGCAUUCACUCAAAUUUCUCUCCCUCUUGCGUUCUUACUCUCUCUGGUAUCGAUUUUCGGUCAGUUUCUAAGUUAGAGAGUUUUAUUAUGGAGAACGGACUUCUUGACAGAGUGGAAGACAACGCUAACGUCCAUAUAUGGUCAGAGCAAACUCAGUUAGUAAAAGAAAAUAGUCUAGCCAUGGGAUAUGUGUCAGAGCUGUCAGACUACAUUCGUAUCACACAGGAUAAUCAGCAUGAGUUAAAGGAAAUAUGGGAUCAAUGGGGUAGUGAAGCCAAGCAGUUGUUCUACAACAACCAUGGGGACUUGCAGUACUUGCUUGACUUGGGAAUAGACGAGAAU